GCUAACGUAGCUCAGUCGGUAGAGCAGCUCACUCGUAAUGAGCAGGUCGUGCGUUCGAUUCGCAUCGUUAGCU
This 73-nucleotide transfer RNA is filed under the name Spirochaetae bacterium HGW-Spirochaetae-5. RNAcentral describes it as "tRNA-Thr". It matches the Rfam family "tRNA". From Rfam's summary of the family: Transfer RNA (tRNA) molecules are approximately 80 nucleotides in length. The record is from RNAcentral. Lineage: Bacteria; Pseudomonadati; Spirochaetota.